This is a long non-coding RNA of Bos taurus (domestic cattle), 1178 nucleotides long. The record is from Ensembl. NCBI's taxonomy places the organism in Eukaryota, Metazoa, Chordata, Mammalia, Artiodactyla, Bovidae.
UCCCGCAACUCACGCUCUGGUCAGAACCCAGUCUGCCCCGGAAGGCUUGGCUUAGGUGCCAUCUCCUCCCAGAAUUCUUUUCUGAUUCCCGCCCCCGGCCCAAAGGUUUCUCUUCCUCCUCUUGGGUCCCCCUUUUCGUCCUAUUUUCAAACUGCCUCGUGUUUUCCCCAGCAGAUGCAUCUUGACGCCUCAGUGCUGUGUGACUACUGGAAACCAUUGCUGCAACCCAGGGUCUUGGCCCAUGAGUCAGCCCCUCCCUGACCCUGUCACUUGAGGUGUAGGCUUCUCCUCCACAUGGGCCCCUGCUUCCCACAAAGUGAUGUGACUUGGACCUCUGAGGUGAUGGAGAAACAGGCUAGUUGCUGAGGUCUGUGUUCCCGGGAUCAGCUAAAAUGGAAUUCCUGGCUGAUUCUUAACUACUGGACCACCAGGAAAGUCUCAUCGUUUGCUUCUGGAAACUUCUCUGCAUGGGCCUUAGGCCCCAAGGACCACAGGUGGCUUUGCUGACAGAUGACAGAAUCUGAGCUUCAGGCUACUCCCUCCACAUUCCCCAUGGUCAUAGUCCUGCAGGAGGACCCAAGACCCUUCUCCAAGGGGGCCGUGGGGUAGUAGGGUACAGAUGUCAGGGCUUCUGGAGUCAGAGAGAUGUAGCUUCCAAUCCCAGCUCUGCCCUUUACUGUGCUGGGGUAACUGCUGUCUCAUUUGAGUCUCAGUUGUCUUCUGAAAGAUGGGGAUAAUCCCUUGCAAAUGCCACAUAGAUAUGUACACAUAAAGCGCUGGCUUGCAGGUGUUAGGCCGUAUCACUUUCACUCCCCACUCCUCACCCUUCCUGACUGGCUGCUGCCCCAGUCCUGGGACAACCGCUGCCCCACUCCCAUUUUCAGCCCUACCUUGGGGAGCCAUUCCAAGCAUCACAAUACCAGGGAUGACCGCCAGGUGGCACCCACCCCUCUAGCUCCCUGUCCCCAGGCUUGGCUUUGCAGACUACCAUGGAUUUCCUUACUUUUCUUCUAUGGUUUAUAUUCAAUAAAAGGGGCACCAUGGUUACAUCAGGAUCCAGAGUUCUGGCUGAGAACUAUCUUCUUCCCCCACCCCAUUGGGCAGGCAAGAAGAGAGGGCUUGUCUGUUCCCCUCCUCCCUCUACCCAUGUGGGCUUCCUAUGGUGCCUGGUGCCAGCC